Molecule: ribosomal RNA, 835 nt
Filed under: Lactobacillus delbrueckii subsp. bulgaricus
Lineage: Bacteria; Bacillati; Bacillota; Bacilli; Lactobacillales; Lactobacillaceae
Description: partial 23S ribosomal RNA
Rfam family: Bacterial large subunit ribosomal RNA
Source: RNAcentral
CAAGACUAAGGUUUCCUGGGGCAGGCUCGUCCGCCCAGGGUAAGUCGGGACCUAAGGCGAGGCCGAGAGGCGUAGUCGAUGGACAACAGGUUGAAAUUCCUGUACUGCACCGAAUCGUUAUGAGCGAUGGAGGGACGCAGGAGGCUAGCAGCGCGUGGUGCUGGAUACCACGUUCAAGCGUCAAGUCUGAGAGCGAGUCAAAUGCUUGCUCUCAUAAGGACAAGGCGUGAUGAGGAGCGAAAUUAAAGUAGCGAAGGCUGCGACGUCACACUGCCGAGAAAAGCUUCUAGCCAGAGACGGUGCACCCGUACCGCAAACCGACACAGGUAGUCGAGGAGAGUAUCCUCAGGUGAGCGAGAGAACUCUCGUUAAGGAACUCGGCAAAAUGGCCCCGUAACUUCGGGAGAAGGGGCGCUGGUCGCAAGAUCAGCCGCAGUGAAAAGGCCCAAGCAACUGUUUAUCAAAAACACAGGCAUCUGCAAAAUCGUAAGAUGAAGUAUAGGUGCUGACACCUGCCCGGUGCUGGAAGGUUAAGAGGAGAGCUUAGCGCAAGCGAAGGUUUGAAUUGAAGCCCCAGUAAACGGCGGCCGUAACUAUAACGGUCCUAAGGUAGCGAAAUUCCUUGUCGGGUAAGUUCCGACCUGCACGAAAGGUGUAAUGAUUUGGGCACUGUCUCAACGAGAGACUCGGUGAAAUUAUAAUACCCGUGAAGAUGCGGGUUACCCGCGACAGGACGGAAAGACCCCAUGGAGCUUUACUGCAGUUUAAUAUUGGGUAUCUGUCAAGCAUGUACAGGAUAGGUAGGAGCCGGAGAAGAUAGGACGCCAGUCUUAUC